UACGAAGGGGGGCUAGCGUUGCUCGGAAUCACUGGGCGUAAAGGGUGCGUAGGCGGGUCUUUAAGUCAGGGGUGAAAUCCUGGAGCUCAACUCCAGAACUGCCUUUGAUACUGAGGAUCUUGAGUUCGGGAGAGGUGAGUGGAACUGCGAGUGUAGAGGUGAAAUUCGUAGAUAUUCGCAAGAACACCAGUGGCGAAGGCGGCUCACUGGCCCGAUACUGACGCUGAGGCACGAAAGCGUGGGGAGCAAAGCAGG
RNAcentral lists this ribosomal RNA (255 nucleotides) under uncultured bacterium. Its description in RNAcentral is "partial 16S ribosomal RNA". It matches the Rfam family "Bacterial small subunit ribosomal RNA", at positions 524 to 777 of the family's 1533-position model. The record is from RNAcentral.